GCGGGCGUGGCGGAAUGGUAGACGCAUGAGACUUAAAAUCUCUGGGGCGAAAGCCCGUGCCGGUUCAAGUCCGGCCGCCCGUACCA
This 86-nucleotide transfer RNA is filed under the name Boseongicola sp. Its description in RNAcentral is "tRNA-Leu". It matches the Rfam family "tRNA". From Rfam's summary of the family: Transfer RNA (tRNA) molecules are approximately 80 nucleotides in length. Their secondary structure includes four short double-helical elements and three loops (D, anti-codon, and T loops). Lineage: Bacteria; Pseudomonadati; Pseudomonadota; Alphaproteobacteria; Rhodobacterales; Paracoccaceae. The record is from RNAcentral. RNAcentral also lists the same sequence under 3 other names.